This is a long non-coding RNA of Drosophila subpulchrella, 981 nucleotides long. RefSeq lists it as uncharacterized. The record is from RefSeq and is a predicted model, not a curated record. The transcript is spliced from 3 exons. NCBI's taxonomy places the organism in Eukaryota, Metazoa, Arthropoda, Insecta, Diptera, Drosophilidae.
CACCGCCAAAGAUCAAAUUUCUUAUUCUUUGGACCGCGUCUAACGGCGUUCACUGAAAUUCACUCGCAAAAUCUGACAUUUUUUCUGGUAUUUCCAUAGCUUAUCUGUGUACCGCGCUGAAAAACACACCCGACGAAAAGCGUUAGCCGCGUAUUUGCCUCUCGGUCACUCCUAUGGUUAGCUCGCAGUUUUCGCCGAUGUGAGUGAGCUUAACGAUGUCACGGCCUUUAAGCCUAGUACUCAGAUCGGCUAAGAGCGUCACUAGUCGAAAAAUCGAGUUCUUUGUAGUGUGACCGAAGAUUUCACAGUUCACUGAUUUUGUUGACAAACGGAAAACAAAUCAAUUGAAGCAAUUUAAAAAAUUAGAGUCUGUUACGAACUGCAUAUUUUUUCGGUGGCAGUGCCGCUAUCUCAGUUCGCAACAUAAAAUAUUGACAGCUCCGCUGUAUUACAUCAGUAAGCUAUCGGUCAUCACUAAGGACAAAUACGUUAACAAAGCCAAGCGCUUCCACCCAGCCAUGGAUGCCCGUAAGAUGCUGCAGGGCACCACCCGUUCUGGGUCGGCCGGAGCCCACUCCUCGCGACUACGACGGUUCCAUCUCCCCCACUGGGACAACUUACUCACACAUUGUGGGCUUUACAAAUAUUUAAUGAAUAUGCCCUUAAGACCGAAAACUUUGGCGCCGUCUUCAAUAUUUACGCGGUCAAAGCUGAGGAUUUUUUUGCUGGAAAAAGGCUACAGGCGCCGCGAAAAGUUAUGCUCUACCAGUCACGUAUUGGUAGAGCUCGCAUGUGUUGUGAGAAACUCCUUGUGUUGGUAGUUUUAUUAUUCCGUACCCACUUAGUGAGAACACAUCUUUUGGUAGUUUUUUAAGAUUCUUUAUUUAGUUAGUUUUUGUAUCCAGGAGCAGCGUUAAUGCCGCUUCCAACGUCAAGUUGUCUCUGAUUUUACAAUUUGCCUUAGGAUCUAAGUAAGCCUAA